Molecule: ribosomal RNA, 372 nt
Filed under: uncultured organism
Description: bacterial SSU rRNA
Rfam family: Bacterial small subunit ribosomal RNA
Source: RNAcentral
CGUAGGGUGCGAGCGUUAAUCGGAAUUACUGGGCGUAAAGCGUGCGCAGGCGGUUUGUAAGAUAGGCGUGAAAUCCCCGGGCUCAACCUGGGAACUGCGCUUAUGACUGGCUAAGCUAGAGUACGGCAGAGGGGGGUGGAAUUCCACGUGUAGCAGUGAAAUGCGUAGAGAUGUGGAGGAACACCAAUGGCGAAGGCAGCCCCCUGGGUCGAUACUGACGCUCAUGCACGAAAGCGUGGGUAGCAAACAGGAUUAGAUACCCUGGUAGUCCACGCCCUAAACGAUGUCAACUAGGUGUUGGGAGGGUAAAACCUUUUAGUACCGGAGCUAACGCGUGAAGUUGACCGCCUGGGGAGUACGGCCGCAAGGUUA